This 486-nucleotide ribosomal RNA is filed under the name uncultured bacterium. RNAcentral's name for it is "partial 16S ribosomal RNA". It matches the Rfam family "Bacterial small subunit ribosomal RNA", at positions 30 to 507 of the family's 1533-position model. The record is from RNAcentral.
AUCGAACGCUGGCGGCAUGCCUUACACAUGCAAGUCGAACGGCAGCACGGGUGCUUGCCCCUGGUGGCGAGUGGCGAACGGGUGAGUAAUACAUCGGUACAUGUCCUUUAGUGGGGGAUAGCCCUGCGAAAGCCGGAUUAAUACCGCAUACGAUCUACGGAUGAAAGCGGGGGACCUUCGGGCCUCGCGCUGUUGGGUUGGCCGAUGGCUGAUGAGCUAGUUGGUGGGGUAAAGGCCUACCAAGGCGGCGUUCAGUAGCUGGUCUGAGAGGACGACCAGCCACACUGGGACUGAGACACGGCCCAGACUCCUACGGGAGGCAGCAGUGGGGAAUUUUGGACAAUGGGCGAAAGCCUGAUCCAGCAAUGCCGCGUGUGUGAAGAAGGCCUUCGGGUUGUAAAGCACUUUUGUCCGGAAAGAAAUCCUUGGCCCUAAUACGGUCGGGGGAUGACGGUACCGGAAGAAUAAGCACCGGCUAACUACGUG